AGAGUUUGAUCAUGGCUCAGGAUGAACGCUAGCGACAGGCUUAACACAUGCAAGUCGAGGGGCAGGCGGGGGUAGCAAUACCCGCCGGCGACCGGCGCACGGGUGAGUAACGCGUAUGCAACUUACCUAUCAGGAGGGGGAUAACCCGGCGAAAGUCGGACUAAUACCGCAUGAAGCAGGGAUCCCCGCAUGGGAAUAUUUGCUAAAGAUUCAUCGCUGAUAGAUAGGCAUGCGUUCCAUUAGGCAGUUGGCGGGGUAACGGCCCACCAAACCGACGAUGGAUAGGGGUUCUGAGAGGAAGGUCCCCCACAUUGGUACUGAGACACGGACCAAACUCCUACGGGAGGCAGCA
This 352-nucleotide ribosomal RNA is filed under the name uncultured bacterium. RNAcentral's name for it is "bacterial SSU rRNA". It matches the Rfam family "Bacterial small subunit ribosomal RNA", at positions 8 to 353 of the family's 1533-position model. The record is from RNAcentral.